ACGAGGAGUGCAGAGGAGGUGCUGAUGAUUGCGGGGAGAGCUCUGAGAGCCCGAGAAAGAUGGGGAAACUGAAGCCCUAGAGGAAAAGAAGACUAAAUGUAUUACCAUCUGACCCACUUCCUGGCCAGCCUGUUCACCUGUCUGCUGUUCUUCAUUGAACAAGAGAAGGAAUCACAAUUGGUCCAUGACAGUCACGGUCAUCUCAUUCCUCUUGCCAGUGGCAGGUGUAUGUGUGAGUUUGCAGCUCAAUCCUGGCCAAGGGGAUCCAAGGACUGCUGAAGAGGCAUGUCUGCACAUGUCACCUAGAACAUCUCCAGCCAUCAUGUGAUCUCUGGGGGAGGCAUUCCCAACUCUCUGAGAGAAGCAGACCAGAAAGAUGGAAAGAAAGCACCUGGCUCCAGGAUGAUGACAUUGAGCCGAUGAAUUAACCACCUUUGUGCUGCUCUAACCUUCAGAGUUCACCUUAACAUGAGAAAAUAAAACCCUUAUUGCUUA
RNAcentral lists this long non-coding RNA (495 nucleotides) under Homo sapiens (human). RNAcentral's name for it is "non-protein coding lnc-CIT-1:4". Lineage: Eukaryota; Metazoa; Chordata; Mammalia; Primates; Hominidae. The record is from RNAcentral.